CAUUAAUAGCAAUCCAGACGUCCCUGAAAGCAUGACGACAACAUGGAUACAUUCGCUUGUCACGGUCAAACGAUCGUGUCGACGUCUCUUUUUGAUUCUUCGACGUGAACUUUUCCUAUCAUUGUGAAGCAGAAUUCAUCAAGCGUUGGAGAGCACACCCACAAAUAGCAAAUGUAAGCUAGACCGUCAUGAGACCCUACUAAUGAGUACAAUAACCAGUGAUAAUCCUGUUAAGUAUUGUAUGAGGAGCAAGUCCAGACAAUUGGUAUAUGUUCCUGGUCGAAAGGUCGACGGUGCGAAGCUAUCAUCUGAAGGAUUACAACGGUACAUCCGACACGUGACUGGGCAAAUUUACGUAUUCCUCUGGGUGUCCGACCAGGUCCACUAGAGCAAUAAGCAUCAAAAAUAUGCUGCGGAUUUCAGGGUGUACGAGGUCUAUCUAAUUGUGAUAUGAACAUGAGGAUACAAAAUCGUUUGUAAACGACUUAGCAUCUUGUUGGGGAGAUAUGAGGCAUUCAGUUUUAUUAUUGCUUCGUGUAUUCAGCUCACACACUAGGCUAU
This 561-nucleotide non-coding RNA is filed under the name Trichobilharzia regenti. Its description in RNAcentral is "Eukaryotic large subunit ribosomal RNA". It matches the Rfam family "Eukaryotic large subunit ribosomal RNA", at positions 2781 to 3401 of the family's 3401-position model. The record is from Rfam by way of RNAcentral. Lineage: Eukaryota; Metazoa; Platyhelminthes; Trematoda; Strigeidida; Schistosomatidae.